GCCCGGCUAGCUCAAUCGGUAGAGCGUGAGACUCUUAAGGAUAUAAAAGAUCAAAAAGGAUUCUCCGUAAAUCUCAAGGUUGUGGGUUCGACCCCCACGUCGGGCU
Molecule: non-coding RNA, 106 nt
Organism: Cladorrhinum sp. PSN332
Lineage: Eukaryota; Fungi; Ascomycota; Sordariomycetes; Sordariales; Podosporaceae
Source: the annotation of a GenBank genome assembly